Molecule: unclassified non-coding RNA, 391 nt
Filed under: soil metagenome
Description: partial contains 5.8S ribosomal RNA, internal transcribed spacer 2, and large subunit ribosomal RNA
Rfam family: 5.8S ribosomal RNA (bases 1-120)
Source: RNAcentral
GAUGAAGAACGCAGCGAAAUGCGAUAAGUAAUGUGAAUUGCAGAAUUCAGUGAAUCAUCGAAUCUUUGAACGCAUCUUGCGCUCCUUGGUAUUCCGAGGAGCAUGCCUGUUUGAGUGUCAUUUAACUUCUCAACCACAUUGGAUAUUUUUUUUCCGAUGCCGGCUUGGAUGUGGGGUUGUUUGCAGGCUUUUUGUAACAAAAAAGGUCGGCUCCCCUGAAAUGUAUUAGUGGUAUCUGAGGCUAUUACUAUUAGGUGUGAUAAUUAUCUAUGCCUUUUGGGUAUGCCGCAUGAACAGAUUAUGCUGCUUCUAACGAAAACUAUUUUGAUGAAUUUGACCUCAAAUCAGGUAGGACUACCCGCUGAACUUAAGCAUAUCAAUAAGCGGAGGA